RNAcentral lists this ribosomal RNA (253 nucleotides) under uncultured bacterium. RNAcentral describes it as "partial 16S ribosomal RNA". It matches the Rfam family "Bacterial small subunit ribosomal RNA", at positions 524 to 776 of the family's 1533-position model. The record is from RNAcentral.
UACGUAGGGGGCAAGCGUUAUCCGGAUUUACUGGGUGUAAAGGGAGCGUAGACGGCGAUGCAAGUCUGGAGUGAAAGGCGGGGGCCCAACCCCCGGACUGCUUUGGAAACUGUAUAGCUGGAGUGCAGGAGAGGUAAGUGGAAUUCCUAGUGUAGCGGUGAAAUGCGUAGAUAUUAGGAGGAACACCAGUGGCGAAGGCGGCUUACUGGACUGUAACUGACGUUGAGGCUCGAAAGCGUGGGGAGCAAACAGG